AAUCACGUCUAGACGGCGUGCCUCAGACAUGCAAGUCGAACGUGAAAGCUCCCUUCGGGGGGCAAGUAGAGUGGCGCACGGGUGAGUAACACGUAGGUAAUCUACCUUCGGAUGGGGAAUAACAACCGGAAACGGUUGCUAAUACCGCAUAAUGCAGCGGCACCUAAUGGUGACAGUUGUUAAAGCGGGGGAUCGAAAGACCUCGCGUCUGAAGAGGAGCCUGCGGCGGAUUAGCUAGUUGGUAAGGUAAUGGCUUACCAAGGCGACGAUCCGUAGCCGGCCUGAGAGGGCGGUCGGCCACACUGACACUGACAUACGGGUCAGACUCCUACGGGAGGCAGCAGUCGGGAAUUUUGGGCAAUGGGCGAAAGCCUGACCCAGCAACGCCGCGUGAAGGAUGAAAUCCCUCGGGAUGUAAACUUCGCAAGAACGGGAAGAAUAAGUCGGUGCUAACACCACCGGCGAUGACGGUACCGUUUGUAAGCUCCGACUAACUCCGUGCCAGCAGCCGCGGUAAUACGGGGGGAGCAAGCGUUGUUCGGAUUUACUGGGCGUAAAGGGCGCGUAGGCGGCCACCGCAAGUCAAUUGUGAAAUCUCCGGGCUUAACUCGGAAAGGUCAACUGAUACUGCGGGGCUAGAGUGCAGAAGGGGCAACUGGAAUUCUCGGUGUAGCGGUGAAAUGCGUAGAUAUCGAGAGGAACACCUGCGGCGAAGGCGGGUUGCUGGGCUGACACUGACGCUGAGGCGCGAAAGCUAGGGGAGCGAACGGGAUUAGAUACCCCGGUAGUCCUAGCCUUAAACGAUGAAUGCUUGGUGUCUGGGGUUUUAAAGUCCCCGGGUGCCGUCGCUAACGCUUUAAGCAUUCCGCCUGGGGAGUACGGUCGCAAGACUGAAACUCAAAGGAAUUGACGGGGACCCGCACAAGCGGUGGAGCAUGUGGUUCAAUUCGACGCAACGCGAAGAACCUUACCUGGGCUAGACAACGGCGGACCGUCCUAGAAAUAGGACUUUCCCUUCGGGGACCGCCGGUUCAGGUGCUGCAUGGCUGUCGUCAGCUCGUGCCGUGAGGUGUUGGGUUAAGUCCCGCAACGAGCGCAACCCUCGUCCUUAGUUGCCACCAUUCAGUUGGGCACUCUAGGGAGACUGCCGGCGUUAAGCCGGAGGAAGGUGGGGACGACGUCAAGUCAUCAUGGCCCUUAUGUCCAGGGCCACACACGUGCUACAAUGGGCGGUACAAAGGGUCGCAAACCCGCGAGGGGGAGCCAAUCCCAAAAAGCCGCUCUCAGUUCGGAUUGGAGUCUGCAACUCGACUCCAUGAAGUUGGAAUCGCUAGUA
RNAcentral lists this ribosomal RNA (1336 nucleotides) under uncultured bacterium. RNAcentral's name for it is "bacterial SSU rRNA". It matches the Rfam family "Bacterial small subunit ribosomal RNA", at positions 28 to 1340 of the family's 1533-position model. The record is from RNAcentral.